GAUCCUGGCUCAGAUUGAACGCUGGCGGUAGGCUUAACACAUGCAAGUCGUGCGAGAAAGUAUCUUCGGAUAUGAGUAGAGCGGCGGACGGGUGAGUAACGCGUAGGAAUCUACCUAGUAGAAGGGGAUAGCCCGAGGAAACUCGGAUUAAUACCGUAUACCUCCUUAGGGAAAAAGAGGGCCUCUCUUGAUGCUCUCGCUAUUAGAUGAGCCUGCGUAAGAUUAGCUUGUUGGUGAGGUAAUGGCUCACCAAGGCUACGAUCUUUAGCUGGUCUGAGAGGACGAUCAGCCACAUUGGGACUGAGACACGGCCCAGACUCCUACGGGAGGCAGCAGUGGGGAAUAUUGGACAAUGGGCGCAAGCCUGAUCCAGCCAUACCGCGUGUGUGAAGAAGGCCCUAGGGUUGUAAAGCACUUUAAGCAGGGAGAAAAAGUUAUAAGUUAAUACCUUAUGGCCUUGAUGUUACCUGCAGAAUAAGCACCGGCUAAUUCCGUGCCAGCAGCCGCGGGUAAUACGGAAGGUGCAAGCGUUAAUCGGAAUUACUGGGCGUAAAGCGCGCGUAGUGGUUUGUUAAGUUGGAUGUGAAAGCCCUGGGCUCAACCUAGGAACUGCAUCCAAAACUAACUCACUAGAGUAC
RNAcentral lists this ribosomal RNA (638 nucleotides) under uncultured bacterium. RNAcentral describes it as "bacterial SSU rRNA". It matches the Rfam family "Bacterial small subunit ribosomal RNA", at positions 15 to 649 of the family's 1533-position model. The record is from RNAcentral.